RNAcentral lists this transfer RNA (85 nucleotides) under marine eukaryotic metagenome. It matches the Rfam family "tRNA". From Rfam's summary of the family: Transfer RNA (tRNA) molecules are approximately 80 nucleotides in length. The record is from RNAcentral.
GAGGAGUGGUCGAGUGGCUUAAGGCGGCGGUCUUGAAAACCGUUGAGGGGUAAUUCCUUCCGUGGGUUCGAAUCCUACCUCCUCC